Molecule: transfer RNA, 73 nt
Filed under: Fasciola gigantica
Lineage: Eukaryota; Metazoa; Platyhelminthes; Trematoda; Plagiorchiida; Fasciolidae
Rfam family: tRNA
About the family: Transfer RNA (tRNA) molecules are approximately 80 nucleotides in length. Their secondary structure includes four short double-helical elements and three loops (D, anti-codon, and T loops).
Source: Rfam by way of RNAcentral
ACCGCGAUAUCUCAGCUGGUAGAGUCUCUGCCCGGUAAGCGGAGUGUCAUCGGUUCGACUCCGGUUCACGGCU